Molecule: microRNA precursor, 59 nt
Filed under: Cavia porcellus (domestic guinea pig)
Lineage: Eukaryota; Metazoa; Chordata; Mammalia; Rodentia; Caviidae
Description: Cpo-Mir-598_pre stem-loop
Source: RNAcentral
GCGGUGACGCCGAUGGUGCGAGCUGGACAUGGGGUGCUACGUCAUCGUUGUCAUCGUCA